Phyllostomus discolor (pale spear-nosed bat) is the source of this 107-nucleotide small nuclear RNA. The record is from RefSeq and is a predicted model, not a curated record. NCBI's taxonomy places the organism in Eukaryota, Metazoa, Chordata, Mammalia, Chiroptera, Phyllostomidae.
GUGCUCACUUUGGCAGCACAUAUGCUAAAACUGGAAUGUUAAAGAGAAGAUUAGCAUGGCCCCUGCGAAAGGAUGACAUGGAAAUUCGUGAAGCGUACCCUAUUUUU